GCAAGAAGAUCAUGUCAGGUAAGCCAAGGAGUGACUCGCCUUAUGAACCAAACAAGGUGUUACUUUCCAACACUUUGAGGCAUAAUAAGGCAAGUCAUCCUUGGCUACCAAACAAGAACUCUUCUCU
Helianthus annuus (common sunflower) is the source of this 127-nucleotide non-coding RNA. The record is from Rfam. Lineage: Eukaryota; Viridiplantae; Streptophyta; Magnoliopsida; Asterales; Asteraceae.